This 361-nucleotide transfer RNA is filed under the name uncultured Microcystis sp. RNAcentral describes it as "partial 16S-23S ribosomal RNA intergenic spacer". The stretch from base 136 to 209 matches the Rfam family "tRNA". Lineage: Bacteria; Bacillati; Cyanobacteriota; Cyanophyceae; Chroococcales; Microcystaceae. The record is from RNAcentral.
AAAGGGAGACCUAAUUCAGGUAUAAGACGAAAAAAAAGUAGUCGCUACCAAGAAUCAAUCCCAAAAGGUCGGAGCGAGGCGAAAUUGGCUUUCAAACUAGGUUCUGGGUUCAAACAAGACCUGAAUCAGGAACAAGGGCUAUUAGCUCAGGUGGUUAGAGCGCACCCCUGAUAAGGGUGAGGUCCCUGGUUCGAGUCCAGGAUGGCCCACCUGCACAGGUGGCAAAAACAAGAGAAGCUCCGAAUCAGCACCUUAUCUUACUUACAUAGUAAGAGAGAAUGCUGGCUCUGAGUAAAGAGUCCAGAGGAACCUUGAAAACUGCAUAGAGCUAGGUGAAAAAGCCAAAAAAGAAGACCGCAAG